Molecule: ribosomal RNA, 376 nt
Filed under: uncultured organism
Description: partial 16S ribosomal RNA
Rfam family: Bacterial small subunit ribosomal RNA
Source: RNAcentral
GUAGGUGGCAAGCGUUGUCCGGAAUUAUUGGGCGUAAAGCGCGCGCAGGCGGUUCUUUAAGUCUGAUGUGAAAGCCCACGGCUCAACCGUGGAGGGUCAUUGGAAACUGGAGAACUUGAGUACAGAAGAGGAAAGCGGAAUUCCACGUGUAGCGGUGAAAUGCGUAGAGAUGUGGAGGAACACCAGUGGCGAAGGCGGCUUUCUGGUCUGUAACUGACGCUGAGGCGCGAAAGCGUGGGGAGCAAACAGGAUUAGAUACCCGUGGUAGUCCACGCCGUAAACGAUGAGUGCUAAGUGUUAGGGGGUUUCCGCCCCCUUAGUGCUGCAGCUAACGCAUUAACGCACUCCGGCCGUGGGAGUACGGCCGCAAGGCUAG